UUAAGGUAUUGAGCAGUGCACGAGUCAAGCAUGCUACAAUGACUGCAAAGUUGUAAAAUAGGAAAACUGCUUCAUCUCAAGAAAAGAAAAUUUGCUGGACAAAAGUUUUAAGGGUAGAGUGCACUUCUGGGGACCUUGGUUAUAGAAAGCACAUUUCAGGUAAAGUGAAAUUUCAGUUUUAAUACAUUACAACACAACCCAUUUUUGGUCCUUCAGUUAAAAUAAAAUAUGACUCCCCACCAAACUACCUCGAUGCACGCUACAAGCUUCAGUCCAGCCCAUAUGAUUUAUCAAAAACUGUAGUUCCAACAGGCCAAGGCAACUGAAAGUGAAAAACCAUGAGUGGACAAGGAGACAGGCAUGAUCCAUAGAUUUCUUAUUCAGUGAUUGCAUAGAGGAGCUCUAUUUCAUCCGGAGCUACAGCUUUUGGGUAUUAUUCUUUUGUGUACAUACAUAUGGGCAUGGCAGGGUCCUGUCCCGCCUAUACUAUGUCACCUACUCUUCUUAGAGGCUCGUAGACAGUUGUGUAUGGUUAGAUGUCUUGUAGCCCUGUCGGCUCAUAUUUUGUAUAUCAUUUUGAUACCCUCGUCGGCUUGUGUAUAUGGAUAUGGGCAUUUGUUAUUGAUGAUGAUAUAAAUGCGUUGUUGCCCAACGAGAUUAGCACUAUUGAUGUAUGUAAAUUAUGAGUAAGCCAUGUGGUCCACCUAGAUGUGAAUGUGGAUGUACGAUAAGAGGUGCCCGGGUGGGCUAGUACCGGGUGCCGUCAUGGCCCACCAAUCGGGUCGUGACAUUUGUGGUCUUCUAUUUCAUGUAGAAUACACGUAGUGGCCAUGUCGGACUGAGUUGUUAUCCUUUGCAGGUAUAUAUAUACCUAUGUGUAUAAGUUAUGA
Molecule: long non-coding RNA, 890 nt
Organism: Lycium barbarum (goji berry)
Lineage: Eukaryota; Viridiplantae; Streptophyta; Magnoliopsida; Solanales; Solanaceae
Exons: 3
Source: RefSeq, a predicted model, not a curated record